UACAGAGGGCCCGAGCGUUGUUCGGAUUCACUGGGCGUAAAGGGUGCGUAGGUGGUGAGGUAAGUCGGAUGUGAAAUCUCCGAGCUCAACUCGGAAAAUGCAUUGGAAACUACCUUGCUAGAGGGUUGGAGGGGGGACUGGAAUACUUGGUGUAGCAGUGAAAUGCGUAGAUAUCAAGUGGAACACCAGUGGCGAAGGCGAGUCCCUGGACAACACCUGACACUGAGGCACGAAAGCUAGGGGAGCAAACAGG
This 253-nucleotide ribosomal RNA is filed under the name uncultured bacterium. RNAcentral describes it as "partial 16S ribosomal RNA". It matches the Rfam family "Bacterial small subunit ribosomal RNA", at positions 524 to 776 of the family's 1533-position model. The record is from RNAcentral.